CUUCAGCCGCACCGGCUACUGUAACCCGACCCCACAUCGGGCGCGUCUUUAACCGUCAAACUCGAGGACGACUAACAAUCACGAAAAUGACAAUUCCGUUCGAAAAAACUCAUCCCAAUCACAAAUCUCAUUAAAAUAUCCAUCUCGAUCUAAAAUUUAGUUCAGUUACAAAAUUCUAUCAUUUUGGAAGUGGUGCGUUUGUUGUAUAAAUUAGGAUUAAGUGGCUUAAAUUGGUACGUGUGCGGUGCUCGCCUGUUGGAGUGUUUCCCAAAUUAAGAUUCUCGCCGACGUCCCGAGCAUCUGUGCGAAAUUUGCUGAUUCAACGUCCCCUCCCCCUCUUCCAUUUCACGUGGACGGAUGACAGUACGG
Long non-coding RNA from Photinus pyralis (common eastern firefly), 369 nucleotides. RefSeq lists it as uncharacterized. The transcript has 2 exons. The record is from RefSeq and is a predicted model, not a curated record. Lineage: Eukaryota; Metazoa; Arthropoda; Insecta; Coleoptera; Lampyridae.